AGUCAAGUGAAUAAGUGCAUCAGGCGGAUGCCUUGGCGAUGAUAGGCGACGAAGGACGUGUAAGCCUGCGAAAAGCGCGGGGGAGCUGGCAAUAAAGCUAUGAUUCCGCGAUGUCCGAAUGGGGAAACCCACUGCAUUCUGUGCAGUAUCCUAAGUUGAAUACAUAGGCUUAGAGAAGCGAACCCGGAGAACUGAACCAUCUAAGUACCCGGAGGAAAAGAAAUCAACCGAGAUUCCGCAAGUAGUGGCGAGCGAACGCGGAGGAGCCUGUACGUAAUAACUGUCGAGAUAGAAGAACAAGCUGGGAAGCUUGACCAUAGCGGGUGACAGUCCCGUAUUCGAAAUCUCAACAGCGGUACUAAGCGUACGAAAAGUAGGGCGGGACACGUGAAAUCCUGUCUGAAUAUGGGGGGACCAUCCUCCAAGGCUAAAUACUCAUCAUCGACCGAUAGUGAACCAGUACCGUGAGGGAAAGGCGAAAAGAACCCCGGGAGGGGAGUGAAACAGAACCUGAAACCUGAUGCAUACAAACAGUGGGAGCGCCCUAGUGGUGUGACUGCGUACCUUUUGUAUAAUGGGUCAACGACUUACAUUCAGUAGCGAGCUUAACCGGAUAGGGGAGGCGUAGGGAAACCGAGUCUUAAUAGGGCGAUGAGUUGCUGGGUGUAGACCCGAAACCGAGUGAUCUAUCCAUGGCCAGGUUGAAGGUGCCGUAACAGGUACUGGAGGACCGAACCCACGCAUGUUGCAAAAUGCGGGGAUGAGCUGUGGGUAGGGGUGAAAGGCUAAACAAACUCGGAGAUAGCUGGUUCUCCCCGAAAACUAUUUAGGUAGUGCCUCGAGCAAGACACUGAUGGGGGUAAAGCACUGUUAUGGCUAGGGGGUUAUUGCAACUUACCAACCCAUGGCAAACUCAGAAUACCAUCAAGUGGUUCCUCGGGAGACAGACAGCGGGUGCUAACGUCCGUUGUCAAGAGGGAAACAACCCAGACCGCCGGCUAAGGUCCCAAAUGAUAGAUUAAGUGGUAAACGAAGUGGGAAGGCACAGACAGCCAGGAUGUUGGCUUAGAAGCAGCCAUCAUUUAAAGAAAGCGUAAUAGCUCACUGGUCGAGUCGUCCUGCGCGGAAGAUGUAACGGGGCUCAAAUCUAUAACCGAAGCUGCGGAUGCCGGUUUACCGGCAUGGUAGGGGAGCGUUCUGUAGGCUGAUGAAGGUGCAUUGUAAAGUGUGCUGGAGGUAUCAGAAGUGCGAAUGUUGACAUGAGUAGCGAUAAAGCGGGUGAAAAGCCCGCUCGCCGAAAGCCCAAGGUUUCCUACGCAACGUUCAUCGGCGUAGGGUAAGUCGGCCCCUAAGGCGAGGCAGAAAUGCGUAGUCGAUGGGAAACAGGUUAAUAUUCCUGUACUUGAUUCAAAUGCGAUGUGGGGACGGAGAAGGUUAGGUUGGCAAGCUGUUGGAAUAGCUUGUUUAAGCCGGUAGGUGGAAGACUUAGGCAAAUCCGGGUUUUCUUAACACCGAGAAGUGAUGACGAGUGUCUACGGACACGAAGCAACCGAUACCACGCUUCCAGGAAAAGCCACUAAGCUUCAGUUUGAAUCGAACCGUACCGCAAACCGACACAGGUGGGUAGGAUGAGAAUUCUAAGGCGCUUGAGAGAACUCGGGAGAAGGAACUCGGCAAAUUGAUACCGUAACUUCGGGAGAAGGUAUGCCCUCUAAGGUUAAGGACUUGCUCCGUAAGCCCCGGAGGGUCGCAGAGAAUAGGUGGCUGCGACUGUUUAUUAAAAACACAGCACUCUGCCAACACGAAAGUGGACGUAUAGGGUGUGACGCCUGCCCGGUGCCGGAAGGUUAAUUGAAGAUGUGCAAGCAUCGGAUCGAAGCCCCGGUAAACGGCGGCCGUAACUAUAACGGUCCUAAGGUAGCGAAAUUCCUUGUCGGGUAAGUUCCGACCCGCACGAAUGGCGUAACGAUGGCCACACUGUCUCCUCCCGAGACUCAGCGAAGUUGAAGUGGUUGUGAAGAUGCAAUCUACCCGCUGCUAGACGGAAAGACCCCGUGAACCUUUACUGUAGCUUUGCAUUGGACUUUGAAGUCACUUGUGUAGGAUAGGUGGGAGGCUUGGAAGCAGAGACGCCAGUCUCUGUGGAGUCGUCCUUGAAAUACCACCCUGGUGUCUUUGAGGUUCUAACCCAGACCCGUCAUCCGGGUCGGGGACCGUGCAUGGUAGGCAGUUUGACUGGGGCGGUCUCCUCCCAAAGCGUAACGGAGGAGUUCGAAGGUUACCUAGGUCCGGUCGGAAAUCGGACUGAUAGUGCAAUGGCAAAAGGUAGCUUAACUGCGAGACCGACAAGUCGGGCAGGUGCGAAAGCAGGACAUAGUGAUCCGGUGGUUCUGUAUGGAAGGGCCAUCGCUCAACGGAUAAAAGGUACUCCGGGGAUAACAGGCUGAUUCCGCCCAAGAGUUCAUAUCGACGGCGGAGUUUGGCACCUCGAUGUCGGCUCAUCACAUCCUGGGGCUGUAGUCGGUCCCAAGGGUAUGGCUGUUCGCCAUUUAAAGUGGUACGUGAGCUGGGUUUAAAACGUCGUGAGACAGUUUGGUCCCUAUCUGCAGUGGGCGUUGGAAGUUUGACGGGGGCUGCUCCUAGUACGAGAGGACCGGAGUGGACGAACCUCUGGUGUACCGGUUGUAACGCCAGUUGCAUAGCCGGGUAGCUAAGUUCGGAAGAGAUAAGCGCUGAAAGCAUCUAAGCGCGAAACUCGCCUGAAGAUGAGACUUCCCUUGCGGUUUAACCGCACUAAAGGGUCGUUCGAGACCAGGACGUUGAUAGGUGGGGUGUGGAAGCGCGGUAACGCGUGAAGCUAACCCAUACUAAUUGCCCGUGAGGCUUGACUCU
RNAcentral lists this ribosomal RNA (2892 nucleotides) under Neisseria gonorrhoeae. RNAcentral describes it as "23S ribosomal RNA". It matches the Rfam family "Bacterial large subunit ribosomal RNA". The record is from RNAcentral. Lineage: Bacteria; Pseudomonadati; Pseudomonadota; Betaproteobacteria; Neisseriales; Neisseriaceae.